This 253-nucleotide ribosomal RNA is filed under the name uncultured bacterium. Its description in RNAcentral is "partial 16S ribosomal RNA". It matches the Rfam family "Bacterial small subunit ribosomal RNA", at positions 524 to 776 of the family's 1533-position model. The record is from RNAcentral.
UAAGAAGGGGGCUAGCGUUGUUCGGAUUUACUGGGCGUAAAGCGCACGUAGGCGGAUUUUUAAGGCAGGGGUGAAAUCCCAAGGCUCAACCUUGGAACUGCCUUUGAUACUGGAAGUCCCGAGUCCGGGAGAGGUGAGUGGAACUGCGAGUGUAGAGGUGAAAUUCGUAGAUAUUCGCAAGAACACCAGUGGCGAAGGCGGCUCACUGGCCCGGAACUGACGCUGAGGUGCGAAAGCGUGGGGAGCAAACAGG